UCUCUCUCUCUCUCUCUCUAAAUUAUCUAUUUCUUAAAAUACUCAAAAAAAAAAAAUUUAGCUGUUCCGUGAAAAAUGUCAGCUCCUACUCCCACGUCUCCGCCGUCGACUAACACCACCGCGCCUCCUCCGUCUACCAAUACUACCGCUCCUCCGCCAGCCACCCCUGCUGCCCCUCCACCCGCCACUCCGGCUGCUCCUCCUCCAUCUACUCCAGCAGCUCCUCCUCCUGCUACCCCGUCAGCUCCACCACCCGCCACUCCUGCAGCUCCUCCACCUGCCACCCCAUCAGCUCCUCCACCUGCCACUCCAUCCCCUCCUG
This 322-nucleotide unclassified non-coding RNA is filed under the name Hevea brasiliensis (rubber tree). The record is from RNAcentral. Lineage: Eukaryota; Viridiplantae; Streptophyta; Magnoliopsida; Malpighiales; Euphorbiaceae.